RNAcentral lists this long non-coding RNA (757 nucleotides) under Nicotiana benthamiana. Its description in RNAcentral is "long non-coding RNA (NBEN_LNC019704)". The record is from RNAcentral. Lineage: Eukaryota; Viridiplantae; Streptophyta; Magnoliopsida; Solanales; Solanaceae.
CUACCUUAUUGUUUACUCGUAUUCUGUACUAUAAAUACUCCACAUUCUCUUUUGCAAAGACAACAGCCUUCUGACUUACACACACCACUGAAUACUUUCAAUAAUCUGCAUUCUCUCUUUCUCGCUUGCUCCUUUGCUCUAUUGUUGUUCUCUGCUCCUGCUUAUUAUUAGCUAGUUCAAAGCCAAGGCCAAUAUAGUGUUACUGCUUUGUCUUUGCAUCCUGCUUUUGAUCUUUUACUGCUGUGUCUUCUAUUUGAUUUACAUUUUCCAAAACAACAAGUUUUUAUGUGUAUUGUACUUCCUCUUGUUUCUUUUAUGCUUUUACUUAUGGUUCUGCUGUUCUCAAUUGCAAUUAGCCUGCCUCUGUGUUAGUUCAUUAAUGUGACUAUCUUUUCCUUAAUUCAGCAUGCCUACUACUUCCCUUAUUUGUUUAAUACAUGUUCUUCCUCACCCCUAACCCCGGUACAUUAUCAACAUGUAACCCUGAACCUCUUCCUCACCUCCCUAUAGAAUGACUUCUUAUUUUUCUUUAUUACUGUAAUUUAGCUAUCAUGGUUUGUAACAACUUGUAAAUAACUGAUUGGGUUAACAGUGAAAUUGGGAGGGGUUAUGCAUGCUUAGUUUAAAAAACAUGCUUAUAGGACUUUACUUCUUUGUGUAAUAGAUAUCAUGUAUAAAACAUGCAUCUCAUACAAUUAGAGAUCCUAUUUUGGGCUCUUUACUUUCAUCCUGUUAUCAAACUCAGUUCGUAAUCAAG